GAGUACUUAUUCUAAAAAGAUAGCUAAUUUCGACUUAGCCAAUUUUGGUUAAAUUCCAAAAGUACUUU
Molecule: transfer RNA, 68 nt
Filed under: Eurycea bislineata (two-lined salamander)
Lineage: Eukaryota; Metazoa; Chordata; Amphibia; Caudata; Plethodontidae
Description: tRNA-Arg
Source: RNAcentral